RNAcentral lists this ribosomal RNA (909 nucleotides) under Macaca fascicularis (crab-eating macaque). RNAcentral's name for it is "partial 16S ribosomal RNA". The stretch from base 154 to 909 matches the Rfam family "Bacterial large subunit ribosomal RNA", at positions 569 to 1898 of the family's 2925-position model. The record is from RNAcentral. Lineage: Eukaryota; Metazoa; Chordata; Mammalia; Primates; Cercopithecidae.
GCCAAUACUAGCCCUAAGCAUAACCAACACUAAUACCAAACCAACAUACACUAAACCAUUCACCUACACAAAGUAUAGGCGAUAGAAAUUUUAAUCUGGCGCUAUAGACAUAGUACCGUAAGGGAAAGAUAGAAAACCACCCAAGCACAAAACAGCAAAGACUAACCCCUGUACCUUUCGCAUAAUGAAUUAGCUAGAAACAAUUUUACGAAGAGGACUACAAGCCAAACCCCCCGAAACCAGACGAGCUACCCAAAAACAGCUAAAAGAGCGCACCCGCCUAUGUGGCAAAAUAGUGGGAAGAUUUCUGGGUAGAGGUGACAAGCCUACCGAGCCUGGUGAUAGCUGGUUAUCCAAGACAGAAUCUUAGUUCAACCUUAAGCUUACCUAUAGAACUACCUAAUCCCCCUGUAAGCUUAACUGCUAGUCUAAAGAGGGACAGCUCUUUAGACACUAGGAAAAAACCUUAUGGAGAGAGUAAAACCCUCAAUCACCAUAGUUGGCUUAAAAGCAGCCAUCAAUUAAGAAAGCGUUCAAGCUCAACACUAACCACCACAAAAAUACCAAACACAUAACUGAACUCCUCACACCACAUUGGAUUAAUCUAUCACCAUAUAGAAGCAAUAAUGCUAGUAUAAGUAACAUGAAUAUUUUCUCCGCUGCAUAAGCCUAAAUCGGACCGAAAGCCUCACCGAUAUUUAACAGCCAGGCAUAACAAGCACAAACAAGCCCAUGCCACCUUCACUGUUAACCCAACACAGGCAUGCCCCAAGGAAAGGUUAAAAAAAGUAAAAGGAACUCGGCAAACCCAAACCCCGCCUGUUUACCAAAAACAUCACCUCUAGCAUUACUAGUAUUAGAGGCACUGCCUGCCCAGUGACACACGUUUAACGGCCGCGGUACCCUGAC